This 487-nucleotide ribosomal RNA is filed under the name uncultured bacterium. RNAcentral's name for it is "bacterial SSU rRNA". It matches the Rfam family "Bacterial small subunit ribosomal RNA", at positions 28 to 507 of the family's 1533-position model. The record is from RNAcentral.
GAUGAACGCUAGCGGCAGGCCUAACACAUGCAAGUCGAGGGGCAUCAUGGCGUAGCAAUACUCUGAUGGCGACCGGCAGACGGGUGAGUAACGCGUAUGUAACCUACCCUGUACAGGGGGAUAACCCGGAGAAAUUCGGACUAAUAUCCCAUGGAAAUAUUGAGAGGCAUCUUUUGAUAUUUAAAGUUCCGGCGGUACGGGAUGGGCAUGCGUAACAUUAGCUAGUUGGUAAGGUAACGGCUUACCAAGGCUUUGAUGUUUAGGGGUCCUGAGAGGGUGAUCCCCCACACUGGUACUGAGACACGGACCAGACUCCUACGGGAGGCAGCAGUGAGGAAUAUUGGUCAAUGGGCGCAAGCCUGAACCAGCCAUCCCGCGUGCAGGAAGACGGCGCUAUGCGUUGUAAACUGCUUUUCCAGGGGGAGAAACUUGCGUACGUGAUACGCAAUUGACGGUACCCUGGGAAUAAGCAUCGGCUAACUCCGUG